AAAGAAUUGCAAAGUGGUGGUGCGGACAGAGCAGACAAAAGAGUAGAGGAGAGAGACGUAAUUGACGAGGUAGAGUUCCAGGUCCAGGGGUGAAGAACCUUGGGAGACACGCUUACCUCCUUUUUCAAAACCGGCAACUUGCGUGUCAGCAAUUAAAUUAAACCCCACUGGUGGCAUCUUAUUCACUGAACCCGUUCAUACCAACAUUUUCUCUCUCUAAUAUUCAAACUUAAACUUUCUUCUUACCAUAUACAUCAACAAAGAAAGAAUAUAAUUCUAACUUGUAAAGCAAGGGAGAGAGAAAGAUCCAUCAGAAUUCACUCCAUUUCCAUAUUCACCCAUUCUUCUCAAACGUAAUAAAAAACAAAGCUCAUUUUUCUUGCUUUGUAUCUCUCUCUUAUGUGUAGAUCCUUCAGAUGGUUACCCAUACUGCUGCUAGAGAUUGAGAAGAGGCUGGAAUGCUAAAAGUGCAUGACCUUGUUCCCUCUUUUGGAAAUGUAUCCUCUGACCAUUCUCACCCUCACCUUCAGCAUCAAAGGUAUUUCCCUCUCCCCACCUCCUAUCGACCUUCUCCCUUAAUUGCCUUGUACAUGUAUUAUUCCUUUCUGUUUAAUAUGCUAUGUAUGUGAAAUCAACUCUCCUAGUAGCUAGAUCUUAUUUAUGGGUACUUUAUUCUUCUCUAGAUCGCAUUCAAUUCUCAGCUUUUUUGACAAAAUCAACAAACCCUCACCUAUCAAGGCUUGUGGUUUAUUUGCUUAACAUAUUUAAGUGAAUUUCCACCUGUAGAGAUGAUUGCUUUUAUGAUCCUUUUUUUUGUAAUCUCUAAGGGGUAUUACUGAUGUAGAGUGGUUCAAUUACCAUAAUGUUCUUCAUAUCCGUAGCUUUUGAUGUUGUGGCUGAUAGCUUGUCUAAUUUGUCCUGGUUGUGAAUUGAUUGAAAUUUUGGGAUGCAGCUUUAUCCUUGGGGAUGACGUGUAAUGGCACAUAAUUUGAAGACAGGUGAAAGAUAGAUACGUAAUUUUGCAUUUGUAGUUGCUUCAAAUUUGCAGAUGAUGAGUUGCUAAAAAGUUAAUUACUCGAGGCUGUCGAUCCAACCGAAACUUCUGUCGUUCCAGUCGAAUCCAAUAUUUUAAGAAGUUGCAGAAUCUGAAAAGUGCUUGAAUCACAUUGUGCAAUAAAGCUUCCUCCCUUGGUUUGGUUUGGCAAAUUUUGGUUCUCACAAUUUUAAAACUUACCGCAUUUAAUAAUCUGGGUUUAGCUUCAACUACAGCAAUUACGGAGCAUUUUUCUUUGGUGUGAAAGAACUAGGCGUCCACUGCUUAGGCUUGGCUAUACAUAUCAGAGUCUCCGUCACUGAGCUUCAAUCCUUGCAUUGAAGACUACUUUGUGCUAAUAAUUGCCCAAAUUUGGUCACAUUUUGCCAUUCUCGGUUGACUUGCUAUAUCAUUGAAUCUCAAGCAGAGUAUCCUGGGUUUCGCUCAAUGGAAUUUAUCUGUAUUACCAUCUGCACUCUGCUUAUAUAUAUAUAUAAAUCAUUAAUUCGGCUGUGAUUUGAAACUCGUUAGCUGAAAAAAGGUUUGAUCUGAUCAGAGGAGUCAACCAGGCAAGUAAGGGAAUUUUGAAUGAGAUUUCCUGGAGGUGUUAUUGAUCGAUACACAAAUAUAUAGCAAUAUGAAUACGAGUGCAGGGAAAGUUCCAAUUUCGGUGGUUGAGAGAAAGAAGGUUGAAUAUCAUCGUUCCUUCUCACAAGAAGGUGCCAGAAGAUUAUUACCAGCGAGCUACUUCAGCUUGGAAUCGCUGCUUCUGCUUGUGUGUCUAACGGCAUCCUUGCUUAUCCUUCCCUUGAUACUUCCGCCGUUGCCUCCCCCACCUUUCUUGCUAUUACUGCUUCCAAUAGGCAUUUUAGCCGUGCUAAUGAUAUUGGCUUUCAUGCCAUCUAAUGUAAGGGAUAUAACCUAUACAUAUAUGUAAAUGUUGUUUUAUCAUACAAUUUUUUUUUUCAAGGAUGAAAGAAUUUUAUCAUUUUGCCGACACUCUGGAAGUUACAAUAUGCUUGGUGCACGUUGAUAGUAAGAAUUUUCUUGAUUGUAGGCUGAGAUUUAGUUGAUUUUAUUCAUAACAACUCUCUAGUUCUGUAAGACACCAUUAGGUUAAGUUUGGAUUCGACAAACUGCAAUUACAUAAUGUUUGUUGCAUAGAUAUCUAACUAUAUUUAUAUAUAAAUGGCUUAGGACAUAGAUGCAUAUUUCACUUAUUUCAAGUAAAUCAUAAAUUUCAUUGUUACAUUCGCUUAGGGUGAGUUUGAACCAGAGAUUUCAAUGAGAU
This 2324-nucleotide long non-coding RNA is filed under the name Durio zibethinus. RNAcentral's name for it is "long non-coding RNA (DZIB_LNC000881)". Lineage: Eukaryota; Viridiplantae; Streptophyta; Magnoliopsida; Malvales; Malvaceae. The record is from RNAcentral.